CUUCGGGCCUUGUACACACCGCCCGUCACACCACGAAAGUUGUCUGUACCCAAAGUUGCCUUAGCUAACCUGAAAAGGGGCGGGUACCUAAGGUAUGGGCAGUGAUUGGGGUG
This 113-nucleotide ribosomal RNA is filed under the name uncultured bacterium. RNAcentral's name for it is "partial 16S ribosomal RNA". It matches the Rfam family "Bacterial small subunit ribosomal RNA", at positions 1372 to 1482 of the family's 1533-position model. The record is from RNAcentral.